GGCUCUGUGGCGCAAAUGGAUAGCGCAUUGGACUUCUAAUUCAAAGGUUGUGGGUUCGAGUCCCACCAGAGUCG
Molecule: non-coding RNA, 74 nt
Organism: Cyprinus carpio (common carp)
Lineage: Eukaryota; Metazoa; Chordata; Actinopteri; Cypriniformes; Cyprinidae
Source: the annotation of a RefSeq genome assembly